Molecule: unclassified non-coding RNA, 234 nt
Filed under: Schizothecium sp.
Lineage: Eukaryota; Fungi; Ascomycota; Sordariomycetes; Sordariales; Schizotheciaceae
Description: partial internal transcribed spacer region
Rfam family: Eukaryotic small subunit ribosomal RNA (bases 1-46)
Source: RNAcentral
AAGUCGUAACAAGGUCUCCGUUGGUGAACCAGCGGAGGGAUCAUUACAGAGUUGCAAAACUCCCAACCAUUGUGAACCUACCUCACCGUUGCUUCGGCGGGUGGCUCCCACCGGGGCCGCGUCGGCCCCCGUGCCGGCAGCCCGUCAGAAGACCAAAACUCUUCGUCAUCAGUGGCCUCUCUGAGUAACUUAUACAAUAAGUCAAAACUUUCAACAACGGAUCUCUUGGUUCUG